Molecule: ribosomal RNA, 1320 nt
Filed under: uncultured Microbacterium sp.
Lineage: Bacteria; Bacillati; Actinomycetota; Actinomycetes; Micrococcales; Microbacteriaceae
Description: bacterial SSU rRNA
Rfam family: Bacterial small subunit ribosomal RNA
Source: RNAcentral
UGGGGAUUAGUGGCGAACGGGUGAGUAACACGUGAGCAACCUGCCCCUCACUCUGGGAUAAGCGCUGGAAACGGCGUCUAAUACUGGAUACGAGGCACAACCGCAUGGUUAGUGUCUGGAAAGAUUUUUUGGUGGGGGAUGGGCUCGCGGCCUAUCAGCUUGUUGGUGAGGUAAUGGCUCACCAAGGCGUCGACGGGUAGCCGGCCUGAGAGGGUGACCGGCCACACUGGGACUGAGACACGGCCCAGACUCCUACGGGAGGCAGCAGUGGGGAAUAUUGCACAAUGGGCGGAAGCCUGAUGCAGCAACGCCGCGUGAGGGAUGACGGCCUUCGGGUUGUAAACCUCUUUUAGCAGGGAAGAAGCGAAAGUGACGGUACCUGCAGAAAAAGCACCGGCUAACUACGUGCCAGCAGCCGCGGUAAUACGUAGGGUGCAAGCGUUAUCCGGAAUUAUUGGGCGUAAAGAGCUCGUAGGCGGUUUGUCGCGUCUGCUGUGAAAUCCCGAGGCUCAACCUCGGGCCUGCAGUGGGUACGGGCAGACUAGAGUGCGGUAGGGGAGAUUGGAAUUCCUGGUGUAGCGGUGGAAUGCGCAGAUAUCAGGAGGAACACCGAUGGCGAAGGCAGAUCUCUGGGCCGUAACUGACGCUGAGGAGCGAAAGGGUGGGGAGCAAACAGGCUUAGAUACCCUGGUAGUCCACCCCGUAAACGUUGGGAACUAGUUGUGGGGUCCUUUCCACGGAUUCCGUGACGCAGCUAACGCAUUAAGUUCCCCGCCUGGGGAGUACGGCCGCAAGGCUAAAACUCAAAGGAAUUGACGGGGACCCGCACAAGCGGCGGAGCAUGCGGAUUAAUUCGAUGCAACGCGAAGAACCUUACCAAGGCUUGACAUACACGAGAACGGGCCAGAAAUGGUCAACUCUUUGGACACUCGUGAACAGGUGGUGCAUGGUUGUCGUCAGCUCGUGUCGUGAGAUGUUGGGUUAAGUCCCGCAACGAGCGCAACCCUCGUUCUAUGUUGCCAGCACGUAAUGGUGGGAACUCAUGGGAUACUGCCGGGGUCAACUCGGAGGAAGGUGGGGAUGACGUCAAAUCAUCAUGCCCCUUAUGUCUUGGGCUUCACGCAUGCUACAAUGGCCGGUACAAAGGGCUGCAAUACCGUGAGGUGGAGCGAAUCCCAAAAAGCCGGUCCCAGUUCGGAUUGAGGUCUGCAACUCGACCUCAUGAAGUCGGAGUCGCUAGUAAUCGCAGAUCAGCAACGCUGCGGUGAAUACGUUCCCGGGUCUUGUACACACCGCCCGUCAAGUCAUGAAAGUCGGUAA